GGUCCCGCCUGCCCUGUGACUAUAAGUUUAACGGCCGCGGUAUUUUGACCGUGCGAAGGUAGCGCAAUCACUUGUCUUUUAAAUGGAGACCUGUAUGAAUGGCAUAACGAGGGCUUAGCUGUCUCCUCUCUCAAGUCAAUGAAACUGAUCCCCCCGUGCAGAAGCGGGGAUACCUCCAUAAGACGAGAAGACCCUAUGGAGCUUUAGACAUAAGGCAGAUCACGUUAAAAAUUCUUCUAUAAGAGUAAAAACACAACGAUAACUGCUGAAAUGUCUUUGGUUGGGGCGACCGCGGAGGAAAAACAAUCCUCCAUGUGGACUGGGGCUAGGGGCCCUAAAACUAAGAGCUACCGCUCUAGGUAAUAGAAACUUUUUAACCUGCCAGAUCCGGCCAGCCGAUCGACGAACCGAGUUACCCUAGGGAUAACAGCGCAAUCUCCUUCCAGAGCCCGUAUCGCCAAGGGGGUUUACGACCUCGAUGUUGGAUCAGGACAUCCUAAUGGUGCAGCCGCUAUUAAGGGUUCGUUUGUUCAACGAUUAAAGUCCUACGUGAUC
This 555-nucleotide ribosomal RNA is filed under the name Choerodon gomoni (Gomon's tuskfish). RNAcentral describes it as "partial 16S ribosomal RNA". It matches the Rfam family "Bacterial large subunit ribosomal RNA", at positions 1851 to 2605 of the family's 2925-position model. Lineage: Eukaryota; Metazoa; Chordata; Actinopteri; Labriformes; Labridae. The record is from RNAcentral.